Long non-coding RNA from Astatotilapia calliptera (eastern happy), 5019 nucleotides. The record is from Ensembl. NCBI's taxonomy places the organism in Eukaryota, Metazoa, Chordata, Actinopteri, Cichliformes, Cichlidae.
UUUCACUUUGCAGCGGGUCAUUCAGCUCUUUGGGCUCACUCACUGCAGGUCAUUUGAACUGUGUGCUGCUGCUUAAAGAUGCGGAUUUUGUUUGUUCACAUGACAUAGAGUAGAGAAGGGCACAUGAGCUAAGAAGAUGAGCUGGAUCAUUCAUAUUUCCAUUGAGGUUAGUACUAUCACGCACAGGGGAAGACCACAGCACUGCAAUCAGGCAACGCAGACAGAACACCACAAACUGCUUCAAAGACGUUUCAACAUGGAAGCAAGAGGUCCUAGACGCAGCCCUCAAAUUCUACUUUCUGAUGAUGACAGUGGUCUGUGGAUGAAGAUGGAUUCAAACCAUGUGAGCAACCACACAGAGAAUUUUUCAGCGACCUCUGAAGACAAAAUCACAACGAUCUCUGCUGCUCCCACUGCUAUAAUGAGGUACUACAGUGUGAUGGAUGAUGAAGGUGCAGAUGAUGUCUUCAUCCCUCAACCACCUCCUCCACCUCGCACGGCUACAUCGCUGCCAGCAGAGAAAAGCACAGGUGCAACAGCAAGUAAGUCUGGUGUGACCCUUUCAGUUGACGCAACAGAGGCUGAAGCUAAUCCAAGAGGCUUAGACUUGUCUCAUAGUGAGGAGCAGUUAAUGGUAGCACGAAACGAGCUGGAUGAAGAGGUGACUGCAAGUGCAGUGCAGUUGUCUAUGGCCAACAUAUCCAAUGAACAAGACUCCUCUCCACCAACUUAUCAAGAACAACAAUCCAUGGAUGUGACUGGUUGUCUGAUGGAAACUGGUUAUGAUACAGAUCGAAGACCUUACGGGAAUAACGCAACAGAGAAUGACAAACCAGAGGACAUUGUAAUUAUAAGUGAAGAACAGGGAAACUGCUGGGAAGCCAAUACGGAGGAAGACAGUUACCCAAAACAAACACAUUCAAACCACAGAGAAGACUCUGAGAAUCAGAUCCAUUUAGACAAAGACGGAGACAAAAUAAAACACAAGGACAUUGGUGAUUUUGAUGAAACAGACUUAAAACUAUUAAGAGAAAGUAUAGCUAUCGAGAGUGUGGAGGCAAAUUCCGAUGAUGAUUUCAAGCUCUGUAAAUGCAACCAAAACAGGACCGAUACAGCAACCAGUCAGGCACAGGCUGCUGACUUCCAAACAGAUACGGACAAAGACAAUGAAGAGCAUGAUGACCGUACAUCUUUGGAUUAUAACCUCAUAAAGUGCGACUGUGUGAGGAAAGAAAGCGGCAGCACAGAAAUGCAAGUGCUAUCCAGCUCCAAAGGUUCUGAAGAAAGAGAGACAAUGGGGGAGCAAGAGGAUGGAAGCAGGAAAAUAUCUACUGAUAUCCAACAAGGUGAGCAACUGCUUCAUCGUCUGCAGCUGGUACAGCUACGACAUGAUGUGAAAAUGUCAGAGAACGCUGAUACCCAACAGCAGGCUGUCAUGAUGGAUGAAAAAAAGGGCAUGUUUGGGACUGAAACAGAGAAUAUACCUAGUGAAGAAGAGAGGGAAGAAGGCAGAUUCGAAACUCUUAAGGAAGAUGAAGAAAAGGUGAGCCUGAUGGAAAAGGAAAAUAAUGAGGACAAAGACAUUCAAACAAGAGCAAGGACAUCUUCAUCCACAAUUCCAGGAGAGUCAGAAGAAGACCAGAGGGUUGUCAGAAUAGAUCCGAGUGACUCUAAUGACAAUCAGAGUGAUAGCUGGGAGCCUACAGAUUUGACUCCCAGUAAUCCUCAUGAAACUUCUAAUGAAAUUCCAUUUCUUUCCACUGGACACCGAUUUUCAGCUGCUGAAACCUACAUGGAGAGGCAGCUCCAUGAGGCAGCCCAGGGGAAGCAGAAGCUGCAGAGAGCUGGAGGUGUUUUCAAUCUUGCAGAAAAUCCAGAUGUGCUGGAGAUUCCCUUUAAAACAGAUAUCUCUCUUGAGUCACUCACUACCAAGGUAGGUACAAGCCAAUGCAACGAGUGGCAAUUCUCUGAACAGAAGAUGCUCAAAGAGAUAAGUCAGGAUAUUCAGAGAGAACUAGUGCUGGUCAAUCAAGGUAAAAUCCCAGGGGGGUACAGCAAAGGAGAGAUCCGCCAGUUAAAAGAGACAAAACUGCUGUUUGAAGCCUUCCAGCAGGACAAUCCGGAGGGUCCAACAAGACACCGUAAAUCCCCCACAACUCUGAGGAAAGGUCACAUUUACCCUUCAGUGCUAGAGCGCACACGUAGCCUUGAGAUGUUUUCCCUCAAAACUUGUCCUGUUUCCAGAGCACAUUCCCUCAGGCUGUACCAAUCUGCAAAUCUUGAGAAGGAAAAAAGUCCUGACAGCAUCAGAUCAAAGAGCCCAACUGGAGGGUCACGAGACAAAACUCGCUUAUCCCCUUACCCAAAACAAGACAAAAACAUUCGCCUGUACAGAAGCAUGGACUCUAUAAGCAAUGACUUCUCUACGUUAGCUGUGGAGGGUAAAGCAAAGGCAGCAAAUGCAAACAAAGAGUCUUCAAUCCUCAAGCAAAACCCAUUCUUCAAAUUGCGCCCAGCCCUGGCUCUACAACCAGAGGUAGAGAAGGACAUCCGAGAAGCCAAAGAAAGAGAAGAGGAGCUGCGCAAGCAGAGACGCAGUCUGUAUGGAGAGAAGAGACAGAAUAGUGAAGAUGAACAAAAGUCACAAACACUCCCAACAGACAGCAGGAAACAGUCACGGGGGAAACUGGAGCGGGUUUGGCCACCUCCUUCUAAAAAGGACCAGAUAAAACUGGAGCAGAUAGAGCAGGAGCCAAAAGUUCACCGAGCAGGAGGACAGAAAGCUUCUCUCUGGCAACGCUGGGAGUCCGGCCUGAUCAAUGGGAAGCCGUCAAAAGAAAAGAAGUGAUGUUAUAUGUCCUGGUUCUUGAACACUACAAACAGAAUAUCAGGGACUAGACCAGCACUAGACUUAUAGUCAAAAUAACCCAAAUUGUUAUGCUAGUCCCAGCUUCAAUACUUCCUCGCUCUUUUAACUCUGCUUUGUAUCUGUGACAAAUAUGCUUUUUUGUAUCUUUAUUAUUAUUUUAAAAAAAAAAUAACAAUACCAGUCCAUAGAUUAUGUUAGGAAAAACUCUUGGACCAAAACAGCCACUGUUCCAGCUGGUCCAGGAAAUGACUUUGUUAGAAUGCUGGCUAGCAUUAGCAGCUACUUCCUGAGAACCCUGGCUAGCAUUAGCAGCAGCUUCCUGCUCUGUCAGAUUUAGAAAGGUUUACACUUUCAGUUGACAGUUCAACAAAAGAAGGGUCCAAUCUUAUGGAACAACAUGGUUUAUACUUUUUUAAAAAUAAAUAAAUAUUGUACCAUAAACACAACUGUCAGUUAUGUAGACAACACUAUAAAACUAUUUAAGCUAGCCUACUUGUAUGGGGGAAAAAAACUCACAAAAUAUCCUUUGUGAAUGUAGCAUGCCUAAAUCUUCAAGGGUUAACUUAGCAAGAACAAGCAAUAUGAAUAAGAAUUAAAUGAUGGGAUGUAUGGGAUAUAUUCUUGACAAUAUUAAUAAAAGACCAAGCUGCUUCACACUUUUUUUUAGCUUUGGUGAGCCUCUUGGUUUAUGAAAGUCUAUUUCCAAAAUGCCUCUAAGCAGGUUUCAUAGGUUGGAUGCACUGGUUCUGGCUGCUCCAGUCACUGUACAAUGUCUGAAGGGACUCUUUACUAAGCCACUCUUACUCUUGGAUUUACUCUGAGGCCACACAGAGGAGAUUACACUGAUCACAGCUGCUUUUUUCUGUAUAGCUUGAUGUAUCAUUUGUGGGUUUUGUUGCAUAUUUUCUAACAAGCCUAAAGAUCAUCCAAAGACCAGAAAAUCCUAAAUGGAGAAUAAUGAUUAUUUAAAAUAAAUUUACACCACUUAAUCCAUUGAACUGGAAUGUUUUGAUGCCCUCUAGAGGUUGUUUCAUCUUGGAGUUGAUUCCAAAUUCAAGCUGGUUAAAUAGAAUUAAAGAGAAUAGAAUCAAAGAAGAUAAACUUAACAAAGGCUUUAUUGAUUGGCCUGCAGUCACGUUUACAAGGGAGCACCUGGUUUCUAAUCUCUACAGAGACAGAAGUACACAGCUUAGCCUGUCUAAGUACCAUCUGCCACCCCCACUGAGUCUGCCAAAAGAGGAAAGACUUUCACUCUGCCCUUCCUGGCUUGGAUAUCCCAGUGUUAAUUGGCUACCACUGUCAUCAUCCUAUGAGCAAUAAGCAGUGCCAAGGCCAAGGUAUCAGUGGUUUGCAUUUUAACAUAGAUACAUUAAACAUCUAUAACAUCCAAAAAUGUUGGCCUUUGAAAGUGUUUACACAUGCAUGAAGCCCGCCUUUAUCUGGUUGGGUCUGGAUCUGUAAGAGCGAGUGGCUGUACUUGUUUGUCAAUGGCACCAUUUGACACAAAUAUUUAGGACACUUCUCAAACUGAAACCUUUUGCUUUAUGCAGUAUUUAAAUGUACUUAUUAGUAAUUACACAUUUUCCUUUUCCAAGACCUCUGGGUGUGCUCACAUGUAGCGCAUGUCCUGGGAAUAAAUUGCAAUGUUUGGGUGUGAUGUAUGGAAAUAUGGGGACAUUUUGAGUUGUUAGUCUGUUUUUGAGCUUAUGUUAGACGUGAUGUCUAAUGUAAAAAAAAUAAAAUAAAAUACACUCAUCUGCCAAUCCAUUAGGUACCUAUUUUACAGCUUGUUAACACAAAUAUAUAAUCAGCCAAAUACAUGACAGAAACUCCAUGCACUUAGGGAUAGUGAAGAUAAAUUUCAAUAUGAGCAUCUAAAUGGGGAAGAAAAAAGGUGAUUUCAGUAACUUUAAACAGCAUGGCUGUUGGUGUCAGAUGGGCUGAUGUGAGUGUUUAGAAACUUCGGAUUUAUUUAGAUUUUCCCACACAAUCAGUUUUUACAGAGGAUGGUUAAAAAAAAACAGAUCUCUGGGUGAAAAUACCUUGUAGAUACCAGAGAUCAGAGGAGAAACAGAGGAGAAGCUGGAAGGCAACAGUAUCUCAUAUAACCAUGCACUGCAACAAAGAUAUGGAGAAGAACAUCAUGAAUG